GACGAACGCUGGCGGCGUGCUCAACACAUGCAAGUGGAGCGACGAACCAGGGCUUGCCCUGGGGCAGAGCCGCGAACGGGUGAGUAACACGUGGGUAACCUGCCCAGAUGACCGGGACAACCCGAGGAAACUCGGGCUAAUACCGGAUGUGCUGUCCCCACAUCAGUGGGGUUAGGAAAGGUAGCUUCGGCUUCCGCAUCUGGAUGGGCCCGCGGCCCAUUAGCUUGUUGGUGAGGUAACGGCUCACCAAGGCUUCGAUGGGUAGCUGGUCUGAGAGGACGAUCAGCCACACUGGGACUGAGACACGGCCCAGACUCCUACGGGAGGCCGCAGUGGGGAAUCUUGCGCAAUGCGCGAAAGCGUGACUCAGCAACGCCGCGUGCGGGAAGACGGCCUUCGGGUUGUAAACCGCUUUCAGUUGGGACGAAGCCUUUGCGGUUAAUAGCCGUGGAAGGUGACGGUACCUUCAGAAGAAGCCCCGGCUAACUACGUGCCAGCCGCCGCCGUAA
Molecule: ribosomal RNA, 509 nt
Filed under: uncultured bacterium
Lineage: Bacteria
Description: partial 16S ribosomal RNA
Rfam family: Bacterial small subunit ribosomal RNA
Source: RNAcentral